GACGAACGCUGGCGGCGUGCUUAACACAUGCAAGUCGAACGGAAAGGCCCCCACCUUGGUGGGGGUGCUCGAGUGGCGAACGGGUGAGUAACACGUGGGUGAUCUGCCCUGUACUUCGGGAUAAGCUUGGGAAACUGGGUCUAAUUCCGGAUAGGACCAUGGUUUAGUGUCUCAUGGUGGAAAAAUUAUUGUUUUGGUGCAGGAUGAGCUCGCGGCCUAUCAGCUUGUUGGUGGGGUAAUGGCCUACCAAGGCGUCGACGGGUAGCCGGCCUGAGAGGGUGGACGGCCACAUUGGGACUGAGAUACGGCCCAGACUCCUACGGGAGGCAGCAGUGGGGAAUAUUGCACAAUGGGCGCAAGCCUGAUGCAGCGACGCCGCGUGGGGGAUGACGGCCUUCGGGUUGUAAACUCCUUUCGUUAGGGACGAAGCCACACCUUUUUUGGGUGUGGUGACGGUACCUUUGUUAAGAAGCACCGGCUAACUACGUG
RNAcentral lists this ribosomal RNA (489 nucleotides) under uncultured bacterium. RNAcentral describes it as "partial 16S ribosomal RNA". It matches the Rfam family "Bacterial small subunit ribosomal RNA", at positions 28 to 507 of the family's 1533-position model. The record is from RNAcentral.